AGGCACUUAUGUGACGUACUGAAGAAUUUAGACUGUAAACUGGAGAGAUUGAGUCUAAAUGACUGUGGCAUUACAGAUGUUGCUUUUUUGGCUCAGACUUUGGCUAAGACGAAAGCUUUGCAUUUUUUAAAAGAGCUUGAUCUGAAAAAGAAUAAAAUAGGAAACUCAAGGAAGCUCCUCAGUAAAGCGCUUAAAGACUCCAACUGUAACCUGAGCCUAGACAGUGAACAACGCCUUUUCAAAGCUGGUCUAAACAUGCUGGUGGAUGGUUUUACAUUGUGAAAUCAACAGGACUAGACCAGACACCAUUGUAUAAGGCAUCACAAAAAUGAAAAUAAGUAUUUCUAUAGAAUUAUUUAGAAUGGGAACCUAAAUAUAAACUAUUCAAAACCAACAGCUAAACCUACAGCAUUUAACAAAUGUAAAAUUAAUUGUUGUAGCUUUAAUGUGUUGCUAUUUACAUAAUUCCUAAUGCAUAAAGGUGGAACAAAUUACAGAUGAAAUAAAGCAGCGUUACAGAGCAAAGAGAAAUAGAGUAAAAGGGCUAACAUAUAUCUAAGGAAGAUAUAAAAUGAAAGAUUAUAGUAGGCAUCAUAAUUUUUUUGUUGUUGUUGAAAAAAGUUAAUGCUCCAUUUUUAUGGAAUAGUCUUCCAAUCCAAAUAACUGUCUCUGUUUUCAAUAUAGCUUAAAUACAUGUUUUAUUAAUUAGUUAAUUCUUGACAGCGUAUUGUUAUAUUGAGUGCUUUUGGAUUUUAAUUGUGUAUUUUUGUGCUUGUUUUAUUCAGCUGUAAAGAUCUACAUGUCUGUUUUAUUAAUGCCAGGGUGCCCAUGCUUCUUUUAAGUACUUGAAUUUCAGACAGAUGGAUUCAAGGACUGGUAAAUGGGGGUGGGGGGCAUAGGUCCUUCUACAUUUUGUUAGAGAAACAUGGUGCUACAGUAUUACAGAAACUGACUUUUACGCACCGCCAAAGACAGAAUGAAAGCACUACUUCAGGAAAAUCUGGAAAAGUAGCUUGAGUGGAUCGAAUGUAGCCUGCUGUAAACCACAAUAUUGCCUAUUAUACUACUGUACCAUUGAAUGAUUGAAUCUGAUUGGCUGAUGAACAUUCUAAGGUGUGCAAUUAUUUUCUGGGAAACGCACGGUGAACAUAGUUCCAGGCAGCUGUCCUGACCGCAUUACUGUUCCAUAUCACUUUUGCAAAGUAAAGCUGUAAUAACGGUCACGCAGUUUGCACAAAAAGGUAUUGUCAACGAGCGCUGCCCUGACGAUUUUAGCAGUUAGCCUAUAUAGUGUAGCAACUUAAAGGCCUUACAUGACAUUUCUCACUAGCGAGGAGACAGCACUGUUUAGAGAUGCAAAGAGGUAAGUUAGACUAAUUCACACAAGCUCUCUCAUUCUCUUUCUCUCUUUGUGUGUCUCUGUCUCUCUCGCUCUAUUUCUAAUAAUGUGAUUAAUAACUGCAUUAGAACGAUAUCAAGGGCUCACUCCUCUGUUACCAGCUUUAACAUUUCGUUUUGGAACUAGCAAAAGAGGCAUUGGAUGAGAUGCGGAAGAAAUAGUCCUACUCACAAUAGCGUUUUAAGUACAAAAUCCAGGCAAAUCCCAUAAAUCAUCUGAUCGAUGUCUUGAGGUGUGGUUACCGUAGUAUAAGCGGAAUAAUUGACUCCAGGCCAUUGAAUUAUUAGAAAAAUAACUCCGCUUCGCAUCGUGGCCACAUCACCACCUCGGUGUGCAUUAUUUUUCAAAUAAUUCAACGGGCCGCCAUCAGUUAUUCCUUACUUUUACAAUCAUCAACUCUUGGUGAUUUUAUGUUAGUGCUUGAUCAUACGUGAGUGCUGGGAGUCCCAGAUAUUGUUUUUAAGAGUAUGAAUAUGUUAUAGUAUGUUAAAGAGAAUUUAACAUACUAAAAAGAAUGAGAGAUGUUUUUUUUUUUAUUAAUACUUGUGUGUACAAUGAACAAAACAGCUGUGGACAACACCUCUGCAUUAUUAAGUGCAUUAUAUAACUGGAUCAGGAAGUAGAUCGUGAUUGUGUGCAUACAGCCCCUCUGAGAAGCAUGGUGCAGUUUAGCUUAGUGUCAGGGAAGAGCAUAUUCAGUGCUUGACUCAGGGCAAAUAUUGUUAUUUGGUGCAAAUCAGCUCCAUCUACGUUAGCGAUUGAAUUUGCAUUUUCAUUCAGCAUGUCUGCUAUUUUUGUGCGAUUUACAUAUGUACUGUAAAUGGUUUUCUCAUAUUUGGGAAAGAUGAUUCAACAGUAGGUUAAAGAACAGUACAAGACAGCCACCAUGUGAACAGAGCCCAACACAGGAAAUUCCAAUCCUCUUCAGCCAGAAAUGCUGUCAGUGUGGCACUCUGUCUAGUUUCAAAUAAAGAGACAGCUGUGGAGACAGCACAGAUGAGAUAUUCUCAACAGAAGGAACCCCUCCAGCAUUUCAGUGUAGGCAGUUUUACCCAGGAUAAAUGGGUCUGAAUACAAGUACAUCUCUUGGAAAUUUGUGAGGAGAGGAAAACAUGUUUACACCCUGAACUAAAAUAAAUUAUGUCAAACUGGUUGAGUAAAGAUCUAAGUGAAAUGAAUACAGAUCAGUUAUUUUCUGAAAACCUGUGAAAAGAUAUAUGAGUUGGCUAAUUUAUAACACUGUUAAAAUAGGCAUGCACAUUGAUUGGUAUCAGGGAAGUGGAUGUUAAACUUACAGUGUUGCAUUCUUUAGAAGUUACUUUGUAUUCUGCACGUUGAAGCUCAUUUCAUCGUUGUCAACAGCUGAGGAAAACUACACCAUAAACAUACAUCUCUUCAUUUUAUUCUGGUAAACCAUGUAAAAACAACCUAAAACUAAAAACCGGUGAACAAAAGCUCUACCAUUUUGAUGUACAAGUGCAAAUGUAAUAUAAACUGUCAUCUAGCUUUGUAAAUGGCUUCUGAUUCUCUUCUCUUCUCCUUGU
Long non-coding RNA from Carassius auratus (goldfish), 2943 nucleotides. RefSeq lists it as uncharacterized. The transcript is spliced from 3 exons. The record is from RefSeq and is a predicted model, not a curated record. NCBI's taxonomy places the organism in Eukaryota, Metazoa, Chordata, Actinopteri, Cypriniformes, Cyprinidae.